AUUGAACGCUGGCGGCAGGCCUAACACAUGCAAGUCGAACGAGUGGCGGACGGGUGAGUAAUGUCUGGGAAACUGCCCGAUGGAGGGGGAUAACUACUGGAAACGGUAGCUAAUACCGCAUACCAUCAGAUGAACCCAUAUGGGAUUAGCUUGUAGGUGAGGUAACGGCUCACCUAGGCGACGAUCCCUAGCUGGUCUGAGAGGAUGAUCAGCCACACUGGGACUGAGACACGGCCCAGACUCCUACGGGAGGCAGCAGUGGGGAAUAUUGCACAAUGGGCGCAAGCCUGAUGCAGCCAUGCCGCGUGUAUGAAGAAGGCCUUCGGGUUGUAAAGUACUUUCAGUAGCGAGGCGUUAACUACAGAAGAAGCACCGGCUAACUCCGUGCCAGCAGCCGCGGUAAUAC
Molecule: ribosomal RNA, 406 nt
Filed under: uncultured bacterium
Lineage: Bacteria
Description: partial 16S ribosomal RNA
Rfam family: Bacterial small subunit ribosomal RNA
Source: RNAcentral